GAGCUUCCGCAGAGAUCCUGCAGAUGUGAUUCGAGUCUUCCAGCAACACCACCUCACUCUGCUUUGCACAAUCACUCCACCUCCCCACAUGUUGCGGAGAUUCUCCUGGGGAUUCACACUCUUCCUACUUGCAGCUGUGACACGGGAAACAUCCUCCACCAGGUCUUCUCUCACAGUGUGGCCUCUGCGCACAGGUUAUCCACCUGUAGACCUGGACGGGACCCUCGAGGCUCCCUACUCUGACCAUCUGGUUUUAUAGUUGAGGAACCAGAAGCCGAGGCAGGGUCUCGACGGUGAAGAAGCAGGCUGUUUCCAUCUUCAGGAUACAAGCCAUCUGCGCAUAGGAAGAGGGUCCAGAGGCUCAUCUGGAAUCCCUCCUCACUCACUGGACGGAGGACCUGACCCCGUUCCCAUCAUUGGUUCUGAAUCCAUCAGCCCAGCAAGACAGGUGUCUCCAGCAAGUUCUGUAAAAUACAACCAUAGCCGGGCCUGGAGUCAGCCCCCAAUAAAGGGUUCACCAUGG
This 523-nucleotide long non-coding RNA is filed under the name Homo sapiens (human). RNAcentral describes it as "non-protein coding LINC00112:6". Lineage: Eukaryota; Metazoa; Chordata; Mammalia; Primates; Hominidae. The record is from RNAcentral.